This 492-nucleotide ribosomal RNA is filed under the name uncultured bacterium. RNAcentral's name for it is "partial 16S ribosomal RNA". It matches the Rfam family "Bacterial small subunit ribosomal RNA", at positions 29 to 507 of the family's 1533-position model. The record is from RNAcentral.
AGUGAACGCUGGCGGUAGGCCUAACACAUGCAAGUCGAACGGCAGCACAGUAAGAGCUUGCUCUUACGGGUGGCGAGUGGCGGACGGGUGAGGAAUACAUCGGAAUCUACUUUUUCGUGGGGGAUAACGUAGGGAAACUUACGCUAAUACCGCAUACGACCUACGGGUGAAAGCAGGGGAUCUCCGGACCUUGCGCGAUUGAAUGAGCCGAUGUCGGAUUAGCUAGUUGGCGGGGUAAAGGCCCACCAAGGCGACGAUCCGUAGCUGGUCUGAGAGGAUGAUCAGCCACACUGGAACUGAGACACGGUCCAGACUCCUACGGGAGGCAGCAGUGGGGAAUAUUGGACAAUGGGCGCAAGCCUGAUCCAGCCAUGCCGCGUGGGUGAAGAAGGCCUUCGGGUUGUAAAGCCCUUUUGUUGGGAAAGAAAAGCAGCAGGUUAAUACCCCGCUGUUCUGACGGUACCCAAAGAAUAAGCACCGGCUAACUUCGUG